CCAAACUCCAUUUUCUCUCCGCCCAAAUCACAAAUUAUGACCCAUCUGUUAUCGACCCAAAAGCCCUAAUCUGAAAUUGUGACUCCAUCAGGAUUUGCGCAAGUCUUGGCUAGGGUAAGUCGAUUUAACUUCUGCCAUAUUUCUUGGCUGCUUGUGAACAAUGAAAAGGGGGAUCCAUGUGUGUGAUUUCAGAAGAAGCAAUCACCCAGUUUGAAGCAUUAAUGGAGCAAGUUGAUGAAGCACUCGAAACUACUUUUCAGGUGAGGAGGCAACUAUGGUAGUGACUGAACCAAGUUUAAGAGUCAUGAGAGGGCCGUGGAUUUUGGCAAGCUCUGCUAGUGAUUGGUUGGGUCUUGAGCCUAGCUCUAGUAGUGAACUGAUUAUGGGGAGACCAGCGGGACCACAUUACUAGAAAUUCGGCAAAAACCGACCAAGGUCGACCGACCAACUUUGGUCGGUCAAAAAAUCGACC
Non-coding RNA from Nicotiana tabacum (common tobacco), 472 nucleotides. The record is from RefSeq and is a predicted model, not a curated record. Lineage: Eukaryota; Viridiplantae; Streptophyta; Magnoliopsida; Solanales; Solanaceae.